AUUGGGACUGAGAUACGGCCCAGACUUCUACGGGAGGCAGCAGUUAAGAAUAUUCCGCAAUGGACGAAAGUCUGACGGAGCGACGCCGCGUGGAUGAAGAAUGCCGAAAGGUUGUAAAAUCCUUUUAAGCCUGAGGAAUAAGCACAGUAGGGAAUGAUUGUGCGGUGACAGUAGGGCUUGAAUAAGCACCGGCUAAUUACGUGCCAGCAGCCGCGGUAACACGUAAGGUGCGAGCGUUGUUCGGAAUUAUUGGGCGUAAAGGGCAUGCAGGCGGGUCGCGAAGCUUGAUGAGAAAUACCGGGGCUCAACUCCGGAGCUGUAUUGAGAACUGGCGAGCUAGAGUUGCCGAAGGGUAUCCGGAAUUCCGCGUGAAGGGGUGAAAUCUGUAGAUAUGCGGAAGAACACCGAUGGCGAAGGCAGGAUACCGGCGGACGACUGACGCUGAGGUGCGAAGGUGCGGGGAGCAAACAGGAUUAGAUACCCUGGUAGUCCGCACAGUCAACGAUGUACACUGGGCGUGUGCGCAAGAGCGUGCGUGCCGAAGCAAACGCGAUAAGUGUACCGCCUGGGGAGUAUGCCCGCAAGGGUGAAACUCAAAGGAAUUGACGGGGGCCCGCACAAGCGGUGGAGCAUGUGGUUUAAUUCGAUGGUACGCGAGGAACCUUACCUGGGUUUGACAUACACAGCAAUCAUAUAGAGAUAUGUGAGCGUAGCAAUACGGCUGUGAACAGGUGCUGCAUGGCUGUCGUCAGCUCGUGCCGUGAGGUGUCGGGUUAAGUCCCGCAACGAGCGCAACCCCUACUGCCAGUUACUAACAGGUA
This 821-nucleotide ribosomal RNA is filed under the name uncultured Treponema sp. RNAcentral describes it as "bacterial SSU rRNA". It matches the Rfam family "Bacterial small subunit ribosomal RNA", at positions 312 to 1127 of the family's 1533-position model. Lineage: Bacteria; Pseudomonadati; Spirochaetota; Spirochaetia; Treponematales; Treponemataceae. The record is from RNAcentral.